This 253-nucleotide ribosomal RNA is filed under the name uncultured bacterium. RNAcentral describes it as "partial 16S ribosomal RNA". It matches the Rfam family "Bacterial small subunit ribosomal RNA", at positions 524 to 776 of the family's 1533-position model. The record is from RNAcentral.
UACGGAGGGAGCAAGCGUUACUCGGAAUUACUGGGCGUAAAGGGCGCGUAGGCGAUUUUGUAAGUCUUGUGUGAAAGCCCAAAGCCUAACUUUGGAAGUGCACAAGAAACUGCGAGAAUUGAGUUCCGGAGAGGAAGAUGGAAUUCCCGGUGUAGCGGUGAAAUGCGUAGAUAUCAGGAAGAACACCAAUGGCGAAAGCAGCUCUCUGGGACGGUACUGACGCUGAGGCGCGAAAGCGUGGGGAGCAAACAGG